This 1905-nucleotide long non-coding RNA is filed under the name Homo sapiens (human). RNAcentral describes it as "non-protein coding lnc-KCNE1B-10:3". Lineage: Eukaryota; Metazoa; Chordata; Mammalia; Primates; Hominidae. The record is from RNAcentral.
GACCCUUCUCAGGUGCAGCCAGAGAGACACUAGCCCACUGAUGGACGGACAGACGUGGGCAGGGUCCGUGUCACUAAACCACCCACCACUGCCACAGCUGCCUACAACAGACACAUCAGAUGACACUCCGGGCAUAUAAAUGAUUUUCACUGAGGACUUACUGGUUUUAAUAAUAGGUCCUGGUGUAGAGAAGUCCCUCAACCUAUUGUGCAAUGAGUUUUGAGAAGCGGAGAGGUGCCCAGUGAAUGCAGGUUCCAGACAAAAGGUGGAGCCUGGCAUCCUGCCCUGCAUGGGCUCCAGCCUGCUGCCAUCUGGGGAAACUGAGUCAUGGCGAGGCUCAAGGAUGUUUCUCAGACCACACCAGUCCCUGAAGGUCCGCUGACCUCCCAAUCUUGACGGACAGUGAGAAGAGGUUCCCAGGCCACCUGCAAUAGGUUCUGGCUCGGCCUGGGUUGGGCCCCGCAGCGCCUCCACCCCAGAGACCCGGACCAAGUUCACACAGGACAAUCUGUGCCACGCCCAGCGCGAGCGCCUGGACUCGGCCAACCUGUGGGUGCUGGUGGACUGCAUCCUUCGCGACACCUCCGAGGACCUGGGACUCCAGUGUGACGCCGUGAACCUGGCCUUCGGGCGCCGCUGUGAGGAACUGGAGGACGCGCGGCACAAGCUGCAGCACCACCUGCACAAGAUGCUGCGGGAAAUCACAGAUCAGGAACACAACGUGGUGGCACUGAAGGAGGCCAUCAAGGACAAGGAGGAACCUCUGCACAUAGCCCAGACCCGGCUGUAGUUGCUCUCACACCGGCCCAACAUGCAGCUGUGCCGCGAUGCAGCCCAGUUCAGGUACUGCCUGGGCCUCUGAGGCAGUCCCAGGUGCCCCCAUCCACCUCCUCGCUGCGACCCUCUCCAAUAAACACUCCAAUCUCCACACACACAUCCCCCACAGGUGCUGAGAGGGGAGGGAGACUCUGCGGCCACACACAACAUGCAAGCACGCCUUAAACACACAGAUAUAGACAUGACACUGGGCAGGUCAUGGGUCGGGGGCCUCCCCGUGCCAGGGACCUGUGCCCACGUGGUCUCACCCCACCCUGUGCUACCUCAUCUUCCCGGGAGGAAGCUCCUUCAGACAAGGUGAGCUCCUGGAGGCCACGGGGCCAGAGAGGCCAGAGAGGGCCAUUCCCUGCUGCCCUGAGGGUGCUGUCCCCACCUCUGGUGGAAAGUAUGACCUACGCCUGGGCUACAGGCAUAGAUGGGCCGUCCUUUUGUUUCCCUUGUUAACGGAUGCCUGGUGGCCCCUUCUGAGCCUAAGUACCUUUCUUCCUUCCCUGCCCCUCAGUUCCUUCAAGGAACUGGGUGCCUCCUUCCGUCAAAUAUCAGGAAUGGAAAGAACUGAGCCUGGUCGGCUGAGGCCAGUCCUGUCCUGUCAGGGUCGAGAUUGCACGCGGGUCACUCAUUCCCACUCAGGCCCGCGCUCCCUGGGAGGACCCUCGUAAUUUAUGCUCUGCCCUAGAGCCGCUUUCCUGGUAGGAUCCUUUCAUGGCGUCUUCCCAGGACCUCCUGCCAGCUCCCAUUGGGAGUUUUGGGUCCCCUCCACCCCAGUAGGUGCAUACUUCUGCCCUCCCCAGCCCCAGCUCACACCCCCCAACACCCCCAAGCUGGUGAGUGAGGUGGAGGAGCUGUACAAGUCCAUCACAGCGCUGCGGGAGAAGCUUCUACAAGCGGAGCAGUCCCUGCGCAACCUCAAGGACAUCCACAUGAGCCUGGAGAAGGACGUCACUGCCAUGACCAACAGUCUCUUCAUCGACCGCCAGAAGUGCAUGGCCCAUCGUACUUGCUACCCCACCAUUCUGCAGCUGGCUGGCUACCAGUGAGCAGCGGCACGGUGCUUCCCCCCAAUCCCCC